AUGGAGGUGAAGAAGGGGGCGGCUGCCAUUGCCGCGCUGUGCAUCAUGCUCCUCAUCAUGUCAGUGCCAUCCAAGCAACAGGUGGCCGCCAUGUCCUUCUGCGACUGUUACCAGCAGUGCCACGACGGGUGCAGGCACAGCGUCCCUUGGUGGCUCUGCAACGUCGACUGCGCCAGCAACUGUGACGGAGUUGACAAGAAGGACGCCCUCGCCGCAUGCAUCAUGGUCUGCAGCACGGACUCCAUCUGUGACCCGUCAGUGGCACCAACCUAUACACAUGGUGUUGCGGAUUGUAUAGCUGAGUGCAACAAGAGGUGGGGC
This 321-nucleotide ribosomal RNA is filed under the name Triticum aestivum (bread wheat). RNAcentral describes it as "partial small subunit ribosomal RNA". The record is from RNAcentral. Lineage: Eukaryota; Viridiplantae; Streptophyta; Magnoliopsida; Poales; Poaceae.